Molecule: ribosomal RNA, 445 nt
Filed under: uncultured bacterium
Lineage: Bacteria
Description: partial 16S ribosomal RNA
Rfam family: Bacterial small subunit ribosomal RNA
Source: RNAcentral
GUGAGGAAUAUUGCGCAAUGGAGGCAACUCUGACGCAGCCAUGCCGCGUGCAGGAAGAAGGCGCUACGCGUUGUAAACUGCUUUUAACCGGGAAGAAACCCCAGGACGUGUCCUGGGUUGACGGUACCGGAGGAAUAAGCACCGGCUAACUUCGUGCCAGCAGCCGCGGUAAUACGAAGGGUGCAAGCGUUAUCCGGAUUCAUUGGGUUUAAAGGGUGCGUAGGCGGAGCGUUAAGUCAGUGGUGAAAUCCUGCAGGUUAACUGUAGACGUACCAUUGAUACUGGCGCUCUUGAGUGCGCUUGAAGUGGGCGGAAUGUGCCGUGUAGCGGUGAAAUGCUUAGAUAUGACACAGAACACCAAUUGCGAAGGCAGCUCACUAAGGCGAUACUGACGCUGAGGCACGAAAGCGUGGGGAUCGAACAGGAUUAGAAACCCUUGUAGUCC